RNAcentral lists this ribosomal RNA (253 nucleotides) under uncultured bacterium. Its description in RNAcentral is "partial 16S ribosomal RNA". It matches the Rfam family "Bacterial small subunit ribosomal RNA", at positions 524 to 776 of the family's 1533-position model. The record is from RNAcentral.
UACGUAGGUGGCAAGCGUUGUCCGGAAUUACUGGGCGUAAAGCGUGCGCAGGCGGUUUUGUAAGUCUGUCGUGAAAUCCCCGGGCUCAACCUGGGAAUUGCGAUGGAGACUACAAGGCUUGAAUCUGGCAGAGGGGGGUAGAAUUCCACGUGUAGCAGUGAAAUGCGUAGAGAUGUGGAGGAACACCGAUGGCGAAGGCAGCCCCCUGGGUCAAGAUUGACGCUCAUGCACGAAAGCGUGGGGAGCAAACAGG